GGUUGCGAUCAUACCAGCACUAAUGCAUCGGAUCCCAUCAGAACUCCGCAGUUAAGCAUGCUUAGGCGAGAGUAGUACUAGGAUGGGUGACCCCCUGGGAAGUCCUCGUGUUGCAACCCUG
RNAcentral lists this ribosomal RNA (121 nucleotides) under Helianthus annuus (common sunflower). The record is from RNAcentral. Lineage: Eukaryota; Viridiplantae; Streptophyta; Magnoliopsida; Asterales; Asteraceae.